RNAcentral lists this non-coding RNA (241 nucleotides) under Clostridium sp. RNAcentral's name for it is "T-box sequence". It matches the Rfam family "T-box leader". From Rfam's summary of the family: Uncharged tRNA acts as the effector for transcription antitermination of genes in the T-box leader family. T-boxes are found upstream of many aminoacyl-tRNA synthetase genes and some amino acid biosynthetic genes usually in Gram-positive bacteria. Lineage: Bacteria; Bacillati; Bacillota; Clostridia; Eubacteriales; Clostridiaceae. The record is from RNAcentral.
UUCAAACCUAUGAGAAAGAAGAGUAGGCUUUUGAUUACUAUCACAGAGAGCAGCCGACUGGUGGAACGGCAGCAUAGGAGCAAUCGCUGAAUGGGCUUUCGAGGACGGUCCGAACAACAGUAGGCACCGGCGGGAUUCGCACCCGUUAUCAUGGCGACAGAUAUGAUAGUGUCUGGAGGAGAGGAUGCAGAAAGCAUCGAAAUUGAGUGGCACCGCGUUAAUGAUUAUUACCGCCUCAAGU